GAUGAACGCUGGCGGCGUGCCUAAUACAUGCAAGUCGAGCGAACAGACGAGGAGCUUGCUCCUUUGACGUUAGCGGCGGACGGGUGAGUAACACGUGGAUAACCUACCUAUAAGACUGGGAUAACUUCGGGAAACCGGAGCUAAUACCGGAUAAUAUUUCGAACCGCAUGGUUCGAUAGUGAAAGAUGGCUUUGCUAUCACUUAUAGAUGGACCUGCGCCGUAUUAGCUAGUUGGUAAGGUAACGGCUUACCAAGGCAACGAUACGUAGCCGACCUGAGAGGGUGAUCGGCCACACUGGAACUGAGACACGGUCCAGACUCCUACGGGAGGCAGCAGUAGGGAAUCGUCCGCAAUGGGCGAAAGCCUGACGGAGCAACGCCGCGUGAGUGAUGAAGGUCUUCGGAUCGUAAAACUCUGUUAUUAGGGAAGAACAAACGUGUAAGUAACUGUGCACGUCUUGACGGUACCUAAUCAGAAAGCCACGGCUAACUACGUG
Molecule: ribosomal RNA, 497 nt
Filed under: uncultured bacterium
Lineage: Bacteria
Description: partial 16S ribosomal RNA
Rfam family: Bacterial small subunit ribosomal RNA
Source: RNAcentral